RNAcentral lists this ribosomal RNA (525 nucleotides) under uncultured bacterium. RNAcentral's name for it is "bacterial SSU rRNA". It matches the Rfam family "Bacterial small subunit ribosomal RNA", at positions 777 to 1301 of the family's 1533-position model. The record is from RNAcentral.
AAUAGAACCCUGGUAGUCCACGCCGUAAACGAUGGAUGCUAGCCGUUGUCGGGUUUACUCGUCAGUGGCGCAGCUAACGCAUUAAGCAUCCCGCCUGGGGAGUACGGUCGCAAGAUUAAAACUCAAAGGGAUUGACGGGGGCCCGCACAAGCGGUGGAGCAUGUGGUUCAAUUCGAAGCAACGCGAAGAACCUUACCAGCCUUUGACAUCCCGGUCGCGGGCACCAGAGAUGGAGCCCUUCAGUUCGGCUGGACCGGAGACAGGUGCUGCAUGGCUGUCGUCAGCUCGUGUCGUGAGAUGUUGGGUUAAGUCCCGCAACGAGCGCAACCCUCGCCCUUAGUUGCCAUCAUUUAGUUGGGCACUCUAAGGGGACUGCCGGUGAUAAGCCGCGAGGAAGGUGGGGAUGACGUCAAGUCCUCAUGGCCCUUACAGGCUGGGCUACACACGUGCUACAAUGGCGGUGACAAUGGGAUGCAAUGGGGAGACCCUGCGCAAAUCUCAAAAAGCCGUCUCAGUUCGGAGUUG